RNAcentral lists this long non-coding RNA (262 nucleotides) under Ictidomys tridecemlineatus (thirteen-lined ground squirrel). RNAcentral's name for it is "lncRNA (ENSSTOG00000029295.1)". Lineage: Eukaryota; Metazoa; Chordata; Mammalia; Rodentia; Sciuridae. The record is from RNAcentral.
UACAGCUAGUCAGAGGCAGUGUCAAGGUUUGAUCCAGAAAAAUCCAACUUUCAAGCCCAGAUGGAAUUGUCUCAUAAUGAUGAAUGUCAAUCAUGACAUCACGUGGCAUGUGGCUCCUCUGUAAUGUGGCCAUUGGCAUGAGCUGUACACUCCGGUAACUGGGUAAGCAAUUAGGACAGCCGGACAAAUCUUCUCUUUUGCAGCGGGAAUUUCCUGGCUUCUCUACACACAAUCUGCCAAACAAUGAAGAUCAUGGGAAGAA